This 301-nucleotide ribosomal RNA is filed under the name uncultured bacterium. Its description in RNAcentral is "partial 16S ribosomal RNA". It matches the Rfam family "Bacterial small subunit ribosomal RNA", at positions 509 to 807 of the family's 1533-position model. The record is from RNAcentral.
CAGUCGCCGCGGGAAAACGUAGGUGGCAAGCGUUGUCCGGAAUUAUUGGGCGUAAAGGGCUCGCAGGCGGUUUCUUAAGUCUGAUGUGAAAGCCCACGGCUCAACCGUGGAGGGUCAUUGGAAACUGUUAAGCUUGAGUAUAGGAGAGGAAAGUGGAAUUCCCAGUGUAGCGGUGAAAUGCGUAGAUAUUGGGAGGAAUACCGGUGGCGAAGGCGACUUUCUGGACUAAAACUGACGCUGAGGCACGAAAGUGUGGGUAGCAAACAGGAUUAGAUACCCCGGUAGUCCCUGUCUCUUAUAC